AAAAGACAUUCUGCAAAGGGAAAGUAAUUGAAAGACAUUUACAUCACAGCGGAUGGCUUCCGUGCAUUCCUGCCAUUCCAAGACAACACAUUCCUGGCAUAGGCUGCAACAAGCCUCCACAUGCACUAAUGAUGUACAGCAGAACAGGCAUUGUCAGAAAGAUUGGAAAUUUAUCUUUAGGGACAAGGAGGUACAGACAUGUUGAAAUCUAAAGCAGAAGAAAAGAGGAAAGCAUGGGGGAAAGGAAGAAAGGGGAAAGGAGAAGCUAUGAGGAACCUAUAUUUGAUAAAAGGAAGGGGAAGAGAUUGUUUAUAAGGAAAAAAUGCUAAGGAAAUCGAAAAUAUUGGACCCAGAAGAAAGUGGCAUUUGCUAGAUGGGAAUAUGAAUGGGAUAGAAGACUGAGAAGUCACCAUAGUCACCAUCCUCAGCACUCAAACAGCUGCUCUAGAAAGCUGCUUUCCAAGCCCACGGGGAUUAAGAAAAAAACAGAUGGACUUAAAUUGCAUGAAAAUUGUGAUCCAAGUUAGCCAUUAAGAAAAAUUCUCUAAUUAUAAUAUCUUUGAAUUACAUUACCACAGGAAUGAGAAUAUUUAUUUAAUGUUUACUCUCAACAAGAUUACAGAUUGAAAGAUUGCUGAAUGUCCAUUAAUGGCCUGUUUUCUGUGAUUCUAUGAUCAUUAUUAUGGAAUGUGAAAAUUAGACAGAGGUGUGGUGGGAAGGAACUGGGGGACAAGAGAAUGAGUUGUUCUUUGCUUACAGAAGAAACUUAAAUGAUAGUGUACUGCAGGAAUAAUGUAGGAGGAUGUUUGGACAAGGCAGAUGGGAGGAACAAGAAAACGUGAGCCAUGGAAAGUGAAGAAAAGUGUCAGGGUUGACAGAAGGCACGUGAGAGCAAAGGGAAUAAAUGAGCAAAGCCCACAAAUGCAGGGUUGAAAUGCAGGAAGGAAUACAGGUGGGAAGUGGGCUGGAAAGCCUUAGGCAGUCCUGCAAGAACAGCACACUGAAGCAACAGCAAAAACACCUUAGGAGACAAAGGCAUAAAGCAACAUCAAGGAAGCAUCAGGUGUUCAGCAACACCACAGGUGUCCAUCUUUGUCAUUUGCUCAGCUGAAGAUACUCAGUGGACUUUGAUACAAUUUUUAAAUUGUGGGAAUAAUUGAAGUUAUCAGGAAGCCUCCUUUUAAUAAUUAAAUAUUCAGGGAAACAUCUGUGUCCAAAAUCUGCAAAAAAACAGCAGCUUGCUGUUACAGCAGGCUGGCUUGAGUUCCACUGAAAAGAGAUAGUUAUGCAGACAUGGUAGCAGUGCAUUUUAUUAACUCCUUGUGUAAAAUUUCUCCAAGAAGAGUGCUUUAUACAAUGGGAGUUUCCUGCUCUUCAUAAAGAUGUGAUAAAGCAAACAAACAAGAGAUUUAACUGCUGCAUAAUCAUACUAGCUAUUUGAAAAGAACCUUAAUGCAAAUCUGCAGGUUUAUGUCUCCGAACAUCUCAGACUUCAGUGAUCUCAGACCACAGAAAUGUUGUUGGUAUUUACAGUGAUUCGCUGCUGUACCAAAUGUUGCAUAUGCUCCAUAGACUAUGGUGUUGUGAGUCACACAAAUUACGUAACAUUUGGAAAUACAUUCAGUCAUCUGCUUGCUACAGAAAUAUUGCUAACAGAUUCUUCACUCUCUUUUAUCUCUACAGUCUUUAUCACCCUUGUUAAAUGUUAUUUUCAUGCAGCUUCCUCAAGGGGAGAUGACUCAGUGAGAGAGUAAACUAUAAUGCUCCAUUGACACCAAUGGCCAUAUGUGCUGGUAAUCAGGUGCUGCCCUCCCCUCCUCCUUGGGUAGUUGCAUUGCUAGCAGUUGCAUUGGGGUUUAAUUGUAUCCGGAAUGCUGUUCCUUACUACAUGCUAGUGCAAAUGUCACCAGGAACAGGGUGAGAACUGAUUGUGCCAGUGAAAGGCACAAUCAGUAAUGCAGCCCUCCUUCCAAACAAAUAACAGUUCUCCAAAGCAUCAGCAUUGCCUCCUGACCACACACCUUUUGGCCUGCCUCCUGCCUGACCAUGCUGAGAGGAAAAAUGGGCUUUUCCCUAAAGGUGAACAAAUGUAGAGUCAAGGACAAAUUUUAGCCACAGACCCCUUCCAGUAAACCAGACUUCACUCAGUCUCUUCUGAUUACCUGAGUGCUAAUUAGUUUAUGCCAGGUCCUCAAAAGUCUGUGUGGGCACUUGCACACCUUUGAGGAUUCAUGGCUUCAUCCAAGUCCCACCUCCUCCAUGCAAGGUGGGGGUGGAAUGGCAGGGCGUUGGAGUUUGUUGGGGUUUUUGCAUACACACACAUGCAUGCACUUGUUGUCUGGUGUCCAUCCUUCUCAGGCAACAAAAAACAGCAGUUCUACUGUUUUCUGACAGUAAUUGGUCAUUUCUCCCCAUGAAGCAGCCUGAAGGCAGCAGAGACAUUUCAGAGAUUCAGCGUAGACAUGUGAACUUCAUCCUUUGCCCUGGAGACUGAGCACUUCUGUAGUCCAUUGCUGCCAAAUAGGCAUAAAAAUACAGGAUGCAUAGAGCAUAUGGACAGCUGUAAAGUUUACCGUUAAUGCUUCUGGCCACUUGUACAAACAUUUUUUAAAUUAUUUUAAGCAUCAGGGCAGGUUUUUUGGUUGCAUAAAUUUCAGGUCUUCAGUGAUUGGCAUAAAAAAUGUCAAUCACAGGCUUUGGCUGCCAGAAAUAGGGACUGCUAAGUGUUCAGAUAGGUGAGAUGUCAUCUUGUGAAGAAAAAAAAGCAGAAAGAAAAAUAUUUUCAAUUCACCUCAUGACUAGUAGCUAAUUGGCUGACAUUUCAAAACCCUGUGUUCACACAUCUCACAUUCUUCACACUAAAUGAGAGAGACUGGAAACACUGAAGAAAAUGUAUUUUCAGGCAUAGGAAGAAGCAUCACUUGAAUUCAUUUUGGAUGGAAAUGAAAAGUGCUUUUUGGUCAUAUUUAUGAGUGCAAGAACCUCAAAGCCCAUUUGUGUACAGCAGUAUUAUGUACACAGGGGCCAAACCUGCGUCUCAAGGCCGGCGAGACGGGCUGCACACAAACACCCUACUGAGGACACCCUCUGUGUGGGCACAAGGCUUCUUUCAGUUCACUCUGUGGACAGCAUUCCAGCUGCCAGCCAGCUGUAAGUGCAAGCUUUAGGGCAGGGGACUGGUGAUGUGACCUACAGCUGGGAAGCUGGAGCACCCUGGGCUGCGGCAGGGUGCCUCCACUUGCCCCAGCAGCCCUGGGUCUGGAGCACUGCCUGUGUCCUGGAGAGGGCAGUGGUGAAUGAUGAUGCCGACAGGAGACCUGCACACGUGCCUGGCUCCUACAGCCCCCCUGAGCUCGGUGUUUGCAGCGUGCCAUUAGUGGCUUGAAUGUCACAGUCAGAACCAGUUGUUGCAUCUAGGCACCUACAGGGUAUUUUCAGUAUUCCAGAUAUGCCUCUGUCAAAGCCCUCUUGAACUAUUGUGAAAAGACUGGUGGCAGAGUAAAAUAAAUUGGAAAGAGAGCAUAAAAAGUUGCCACUUGGAAGACAAAAACAGAAACAAGAGGCGCUUCCGUCCUUACAGUUCGUGCACGUGACUCAGGAAUAAGGCUGGCAGCCAAAACUGCCUGAUUGUGCCUAUCAAAUGUCCCUGUGUUGGGAGGGAAUGUCCUGAGGAGCUGGCUGGCCACUGACAUUUGGAAAAUGAAUGAAUUGUGCUUGCCAGGUGCUUGAGAACAACAUUUGGCAUGAAAUAGCUGGCAUGACAUGACUUUGCAGGCAGUGUUUUAUUUCCUAUUCUUCUAGACCUUCCCUUUUGUAUCAAGGGACUAAGCAGGAACCCAUUUCAGAGGGCAUCACAUAUUCCAAGGGGAUGGUUACAGAUAUAUUUGCAAUAUAAUAAUUUUGUUAAGAUAUUUAACUAGAGUAGGAUUGCAUUUGGGAUAAUAUCCCAAAUAAUAACAGCAGUGGAGACCUGAAAUGGAUCUGGAGUGCAUGCUGUGGAGACACUGGGAAAAUCUGGGAAAAGUCAAGGACAGAGAGAUGCUGCAUGUUGUUUCUCUUUGGCUUCACGUACACAGUUCUUGCAAGGAUUGUAUGACUUCAAAAUGAGUACCACCCACUGGAAAAGUUCAGGAGGAAGGAACAUUUCCAGGACAAUCUUCAGCUUCUUCUCAAUCAAGAUGAAACAAUGAAGUAAAAUUAAUCUUUCUUUUUUUUCUUUUUUUUACCACCGUUGUAAAAUAAAUCCUUAAUAAAUCUGCA
This is a long non-coding RNA of Motacilla alba alba, 4260 nucleotides long. RefSeq lists it as uncharacterized. NCBI's taxonomy places the organism in Eukaryota, Metazoa, Chordata, Aves, Passeriformes, Motacillidae. The record is from RefSeq and is a predicted model, not a curated record. The transcript has 3 exons.